This 61-nucleotide microRNA precursor is filed under the name Danio rerio (zebrafish). RNAcentral's name for it is "Dre-Mir-146-P4-v2_pre stem-loop". Lineage: Eukaryota; Metazoa; Chordata; Actinopteri; Cypriniformes; Danionidae. The record is from RNAcentral.
UUGAGAACUGAAUUCCAAGGGUGUCUGCUUUAUAUUCAGCCCACGGAGUUCAGUUCUUAAG